UAGAAAGCAUAUUCAUAGUUA
RNAcentral lists this non-coding RNA (21 nucleotides) under Caenorhabditis elegans. The record is from RNAcentral. Lineage: Eukaryota; Metazoa; Nematoda; Chromadorea; Rhabditida; Rhabditidae.